UCAGAAACUACAAAGGAAGUUGACGGGGCCCGGCGACAAGCGGUGGAGUAUGUGGUUUAAUUCGAUGCAACGCGAAGAACCUUACCUGGUCUUGACAUCCCGGAGACCCUUAGGAAACUAGGGGUGCUUCCAUCUGGAAGAAUCUGGAGACAGGUGCUGCAUGGCUGUCGUCAGCUCGUGUCGUGAGAUGUUGGGUUAAGUCCCGCAACGAGCGCAACCCUUGCCUUUAGUUGCCAGCAGUUCGGCUGGGCACUCUAAAGGGACUGCCGGUGUUAAACCGGAGGAAGGUGGGGAUGACGUCAAGUCCUCAUGGCCUUUAUGACCAGGGCUACACACGUACUACAAUGGCCGAUACAAAGGGCAGCGACACUGCGAGGUGAAGCCAAUCCCGUAAAAUCGGUCUCAGUCCGGAUUGGAGUCUGCAACUCGACUCCAUGAAGUUGGAAUCGCUAGUAAUCGUGGAUCAGCAUGCCACGGUGAAUACGUUCCCGGGCCUU
Molecule: ribosomal RNA, 497 nt
Filed under: uncultured Desulfobulbus sp.
Lineage: Bacteria; Pseudomonadati; Thermodesulfobacteriota; Desulfobulbia; Desulfobulbales; Desulfobulbaceae
Description: bacterial SSU rRNA
Rfam family: Bacterial small subunit ribosomal RNA
Source: RNAcentral